This 230-nucleotide long non-coding RNA is filed under the name Mytilus galloprovincialis (Mediterranean mussel). The record is from RNAcentral. Lineage: Eukaryota; Metazoa; Mollusca; Bivalvia; Mytilida; Mytilidae.
AAACAUGAACACCAUUAUUCUUGUUCCAUUUGCCCUUCAAAAUUCACAGAAAAAUGGAGCCUUGAUGACCACCAGCAAGGACAUGUCAACCCAUUAAUAUGUGAUAUCUGUGGGAAACAUUUCACAUCGAGGUUUGGAUUAAGACGACAUAUGAAGGUUCAGUAUGGAUCCUCUAAAUUCUUUAGGUGCGAAAUUUGCAAUGUAAAUUUCUUUAAUAAAGCCGACCAUGA